Molecule: ribosomal RNA, 463 nt
Filed under: uncultured bacterium
Lineage: Bacteria
Description: bacterial SSU rRNA
Rfam family: Bacterial small subunit ribosomal RNA
Source: RNAcentral
CCAGACUCCUACGGGAGGCAGCAGUGAGGAAUAUUGGUCAAUGGGCGAGAGCCUGAACCAGCCAAGUCGCGUGAGGGAAGACAGUCCUAUGGAUUGUAAACCUCUUUUGUCGGGGAGCAAAAGCCGGACGCGUCCGGCUGUGAGAGUACCCGAAGAAAAAGCAUCGGCUAACUCCGUGCCAGCAGCCGCGGUAAUACGGAGGAUGCGAGCGUUAUCCGGAUUUAUUGGGUUUAAAGGGUGCGCAGGCGGAUUUUUAGGUCAGCGGUCAAAUCGUGGGGCUCAACCCCAUCCAGCCGUUGAAACUGGCGUUCUUGAGUGGGCGAGAAGUAUGCGGAAUGCGUGGUGUAGCGGUGAAAUGCAUAGAUAUCACGCAGAACUCCGAUUGCUAAGGCAGCAUACCGGCGCCCAACUGACGCUGAAGCACGAAAGCGUGGGUAUCGAACAGGAUUAGAUACCCGAGUAA